Molecule: long non-coding RNA, 1334 nt
Organism: Eucalyptus grandis
Lineage: Eukaryota; Viridiplantae; Streptophyta; Magnoliopsida; Myrtales; Myrtaceae
Exons: 7
Source: RefSeq, a predicted model, not a curated record
CUUGCAGAAAAGGAGGAGGGUAUAAACCCAGUUAGAAGGGGGGUAAUCCGCAACUAGAUUCACUUCCCUUUUGCAAUGGACGAUCUGUAGAUUAGGGCACCGACAGAGAAGCGCCGUGGUUUCUUCGACUAAGGACCUUAUCUCCCAAGGCACCAGAUUAGGGUUUCGAAUGGCAUCCACAAGAGGGCCGAAGAGGCAGUGGCGGAUUGUGCAAAACCAUCGAUCACAAUGCCAGAGAAAUCUCGACACACGCAAGCACCAAAGCUUCACUACAAUCGUACUGCUUCGUCUCGGUUUCACCCCAUAAUAGCAUCUACUGGACUUGGCGUUUGCUAAAGCUGUCUGCACGACCUGUUCAGGGUUUGGUUGCUGUUGGCGAAAGAUGAAGUUGUUGUGGGCUUUCCAGAUUUGCCAAAGGAUGGAUGCAGUUGUCACCAAAUCUAGUUGGUUAUCCUAGCCUUGUCAUAAUGACCAUGAGGCUGAUUUGUUAGAUUUUGGAGCUGAUACUGAAGGGAAUCUAUCUGGUGUCUAGUGUUGGUGUAUUUGGAACGGCUCCAAUUUGAGAGAGCGGCAGAUACAGCACUUAACUUUUGGGGUAAAGUCGCUGCUCCAAACUGGUGAGAAGCCUAGGAAGCAGCAAUUAUGGAGCGGCACUCCUUGUCCCGUAACCAGUAAGCUUCAAAGUAUAAAGUUCUUUGAUAUUUAAUUCGAGAUGCUUCAGUUGAUAAUAGAAGUGGGCUGUGAUCUAAUCCAAGAGCUGGUAAAGCGAAUACUUCAGCGUGAGGGAAGAUCCAUCAAGGAGCAAUCGUUAAGGAGUUCACGGAAAGAAAACAUUCGGUGAGGUUCGGCAAUACGCUUUCCGACUUUCUCCCAAGGAUACAAAAUUUCAUUAAAAUCACCUACGCACAGCCAAGGCGAGGUGCAUAGCUAAACCAAAUUCCAAGUCCGUGCAUAUAAAGUCUAGAAAAGCCGAAGAGUGUUGGGCCACCUUCAAGGACACCUGGUCAUUCCAAAAAACUGCUAAACCACCUGCCAAGCCUAUUGGAUUUUCUAUAAAGCUUUCUGAGUAUCUAAGUUUCCUUUGAAGGGCCAGCCACCAAGGCCCAACAUGUAGGAUCAUCUGCCGCAAGAAUGGGAGUAUCUUGUAAAAUGGAUUCAUCGAGUCCUUCUUGUAGCUGAGUUCGAAGAUCAUGAGUGUUAAGUCGUUUUGCUUUCUUGAUUAGGCCUGAUCUUGCAUUCAAACGUGAGCUGCUAACUUUCUUUGACUUGAAAGAACCUGCUACCAUGUCAUUGAUUUUAAGUUGUUGCUGAUAUACGGGUAGCUUGUUAGUGUC